This 465-nucleotide ribosomal RNA is filed under the name Vreelandella stevensii. RNAcentral's name for it is "partial 16S ribosomal RNA". It matches the Rfam family "Bacterial small subunit ribosomal RNA", at positions 338 to 795 of the family's 1533-position model. The record is from RNAcentral. Lineage: Bacteria; Pseudomonadati; Pseudomonadota; Gammaproteobacteria; Oceanospirillales; Halomonadaceae.
CCUACGGGUGGCAGCAGUGGGGAAUAUUGGACAAUGGGCGCAAGCCUGAUCCAGCCAUGCCGCGUGUGUGAAGAAGGCCUUCGGGUUGUAAAGCACUUUCAGUGGGGAAGAAAGCCUUGGGGCUAAUACCCUCGAGGAAGGACAUCACCCACAGAAGAAGCACCGGCUAACUCCGUGCCAGCAGCCGCGGUAAUACGGAGGGUGCGAGCGUUAAUCGGAAUUACUGGGCGUAAAGCGCGCGUAGGCGGUCUGAUAAGCCGGUUGUGAAAGCCCCGGGCUCAACCUGGGAACGGCAUCCGGAACUGUCAGGCUAGAGUGCAGGAGAGGAAGGUAGAAUUCCCGGUGUAGCGGUGAAAUGCGUAGAGAUCGGGAGGAAUACCAGUGGCGAAGGCGGCCUUCUGGACUGACACUGACGCUGAGGUGCGAAAGCGUGGGUAGCAAACAGGAUUAGAUACCCGGGUAGUC